This 797-nucleotide ribosomal RNA is filed under the name uncultured bacterium. RNAcentral's name for it is "bacterial SSU rRNA". It matches the Rfam family "Bacterial small subunit ribosomal RNA", at positions 8 to 794 of the family's 1533-position model. The record is from RNAcentral.
AGAGUUUGAUCAUGGCUCAGAGUGAACGCUGGCGGCAGGCCUAAUACAUGCAAGUCGAACGGCAGCACAGUGGAGCUUGCUCCAUGGGUGGCGAGUGGCGGACGGGUGAGGAAUACGUGGGAAUCUGCCCAGUCGUGGGGGAUAACGUAGGGAAACUUACGCUAAUACCGCAUGCGCCCUUCGGGGGAAAGCCGGGGACCUUCGGGCCUGGCGCGAUUGGAUGAGCCCACGUCGGAUUAGCUAGUUGGCGGGGUAACGGCCCACCAAGGCGACGAUCCGUAGCUGGUCUGAGAGGAUGAUCAGCCACACUGGAACUGAGACACGGUCCAGACUCCUACGGGAGGCAGCAGUAGGGAAUAUUGGACAAUGGGCGCAAGCCUGAUCCAGCCAUGCCGCGUGAGUGAAGAAGGCCCUCGGGUUGUAAAGCUCUUUUGUCCGGAAAGAAAAGCAUUCGGUUAAUACCCGGGUGUUCUGACGGUACCGGAAGAAUAAGCACCGGCUAACUUCGUGCCAGCAGCCGCGGUAAUACGAAGGGUGCAAGCGUUACUCGGAAUUACUGGGCGUAAAGCGUGCGUAGGUGGUUUGUUAAGUCUGAUGUGAAAGCCCUGGGCUCAACCUGGGAAUGGCAUUGGAUACUGGCAGGCUAGAGUGCGGUAGAGGGUAGUGGAAUUCCCGGUGUAGCAGUGAAAUGCGUAGAGAUCGGGAGGAACAUCUGUGGCGAAGGCGACUGCCUGGACCAGCACUGACACUGAGGCACGAAAGCGUGGGGAGCAAACAGGAUUAGAUACCCCGGUAGU